This is a long non-coding RNA of Nerophis ophidion (straightnose pipefish), 4788 nucleotides long. RefSeq lists it as uncharacterized. NCBI's taxonomy places the organism in Eukaryota, Metazoa, Chordata, Actinopteri, Syngnathiformes, Syngnathidae. The record is from RefSeq and is a predicted model, not a curated record. The transcript has 2 exons.
UUUCCUUUUCGGUAAAUUGCUCCGCCCACUUCCUGUUAAGAACCAGCUGACAGGGAUGGCACGGUUGCUAUGUUGUGGUUACCAUGUUAACCUCCUUAAAUUGGGUUCAGGUGUGAGCACGUGCAGGGCGAUUGGAAGACAAACGUUUUUUGACCGUGUCGUGUCAAGACGUGUUAUCGAACGUGUCAUCGAACGUGUCAUCGAAAGUGUCGUGCCGUGCCGUGCCGUGACUGACUCUGUUUACAGAACCUAGGAAGGGUCCUGUUCCCUGUGUGGUUGAGGUUGUGGCGGACUCUUCACAAUGGUGAUGACAGAGGCAGUGUUGAGGCGCGGUGCCGUGGCCAGCAGGUUGCCUCCCCCGGCCUCCAGGCCUCUGGCGAACCUUUGCAGCGCUGCCAGGCGAGCGCCGAGCCCCUCCAGCUCCUUCCUCAUGCCGGCGUUCUCCGCCCCCAGCCGGUCCACCUCGCGCUGGAGCUCCAUCUUCUGCUGCUCCAGGGCCUCCCGCUGGGACACCCGCUUGACCCGGCAGCUGGCCGCGUAGCCUCGGUUUUUCAGGGUGCGCCGGCGCUGCUUUAGCUUCUGGAUCUCCUCGCGGGACAUGCCGCGCAGGUGGAGGUUGAGCUCCCGCACCGUGAGCGACAUGAGCUCGCUGUCUGACAGGAAGGGCACGUUCUCGCCGCAUUCCUGCUUCACCUGAAUGACGGGAAGCGUGGAGACAAAAACCAGUAGGUGAGAAAGAAUGUGGAAUCAGGACUUCUAGUAAGAAGGAAGUGGUUACAAACAUGUUACACAUCUCAAUCCUCUUGUCAGCAAUUCCCACCCCUAAGUACUUAAAAUCUCCAGAUAGAUCCAUCACUGUUUAAAUUUGACAAGAACGAGAAAGUUUGAUCAUAAUACACCUAUACUGGCUCACCUGCACUGGCUUUCUGUGCACUUAAGAUGUAACUUUAAGGUUUUACUACUUACUUACAAAAUACUACAGGGUCUCGCUCCAUCCUAUCUUGCCGAUUGUAUUGUACCAUAUGUCCCGGCAAGAAAUCUGCGUUCAAAGAAUUCCGGCUUAUUAGUGAUUCCCAGAGCCGGGCUAUAGAGCGUUUUGUAUACGGGCUCCAGUACUCUGGAAUGCUCUCCCGGUAACACUUUGAGAUGCUACCUCAGUAGAAGCAUUUAAGUCCCAUCUUAAAACUAAUUUGUAUACUCUAGCCUUAAAAUAGACCGCCCCCCCUUUCAGACCAGUUGAUCUGCCGUUUCUCCUCUUUGCUCACAGUAGUCAAUAUUUUUUAUUUUUUUUAAAACCAAGUAUUGUGUUUUUUCCAUACACAACAACCUAUCUGGAUUCGAUAAGAAAAUUGAUCAGGAAUCGGUUCGAUAAGAGGAUUCGAUAAUGGCAUCCAAAUCGAUAAAUUCUUAAACAUCAUCCCUAAUUAUUUAUUGCUCUUUUUUUUUUUCAUUGUGUUUUACUUUUGUAGCAGUAUGUAGAAAUGCUGCCGCUGAAUUGGCAGCUGGUUACAUCAGCUUUGUGCUCUUUUUUUGUAUUUUAUGUCCUUUUUGUUCUUUGAUAUUCCCUUUUUGUUUUCAUGUGUUUUUUUUAACCUAAUUGUUAGUGGUCUUUUUGGAACUGCACUGCAACUCCAUUAUUUUCCCCUUGUGGGAUAAAUAGUCAUAUUAUUCUGGGCUAGGACAAACUAUACCCGAGUAUAUUCUGAAAAGGGAUCAAUUUGGUCAACUGCACCUGCUUAUAUCGGUGGAAAUGUGUUUUUUUUCCAGAAUCUUGGGUCAAUGAGAAACAUUCUUGUGAAAAGGGGCUAAUGCUAUCUUGUCAACGUACAGACAGAUCAGUUAAAAAUGGUGUCUUGUCAACAGCCUAUCCGUUUCCUCUUUACUGAGGAACACACCUGAUUAUAUUAUGUUCCCAAUGCUCUUUGUGUGCACGUGCGUUACCUUCAGGGCUUUGCUGUUUCUCUCGGUUGCCAUGAUGCCGCUCUCCUCGGGUUUCCCCGCCCAAGCACCAGUCAACGCAGAUUCAGAAAACUCUGAAAAGGGAAAAAUCGUACUUAAAGAUAAAAAAAAGGUGAGUGAUCGAUCACAUGCAAGUCAGGCCAAUUUGUUUUGUAUCUGGCCUGACUUUCAGUGCAAGCUCACAAGACCGCCAGUCAUGCACCAAGGAGAAAAGGAGAAGCCACACAUCUUUCAUUGCUCUCCGAACACGUGCUUGCAUAUAAUUCUGUGGUUUGAUAUUAGAGGAAGGGGUUUGUUUUUUUGUAAAGAGACGGGUGCUUUUGCUGUUGGCUUCCUUUGUUGGGGGGAAGUUGCCCUUGUUCUUGCUCAAAGCAGGUGUCCUAAUCAACACUUCCUCCUGUCAACAUACUGCAAACGGUCUAAAGGGUUCAUUGUAAGAAAGGUGACCGUCCUGUGAUUGGUCAGCUUUUGGUAUGUAAUUUCUGUUGCAAACGCCUUUUCUCAUUCCGGAUUAAAAAUUUUGAACAGUGACUGUCGUGACACAUCGAUUAGUUCCAGCAGCGGUAACACUGUCACUCUUUAGUCACCACCAUUCACUUGCCACACAGGUAACUAAAAACGAGAACCAGACGACAAGUGUUGUGGGUGCUCAGUAAAUUGUCUUACCGGAAAAUACCGUCCCGAGUGUCCCGGCAGAAAACUGCACGGUGCACACACUUAACAUCGGAAUUACUCGCAAAAUGUAUUUUAUUGUUUUGUAUGAUAUUUAUAACAAAUUCUACAAUAUAAGGGUAACAGUGAUGGUAUUGAUUAAAAUGUGAUGUCUAUUGAAUCACAAAUUGAACUUAACUUGUGAUGGCUCAGUGGAAUACAGUAAAACUAGCCACUAAAGCAGGGGUGUCAAACUCAUCUUUUUAGGGCCACAUCGCAACUCUGGCUGCACCCAUAGGGGCAGUAAAUAAAAGUGAAUAUAUAUGAAUUUAAAUGUAUAAUAGCCUUGUUACACAACUUGCAAAGGCAACUGUUUUUGAUUAUUACAAUUUUUACAGAUGGAUACCUAACCGGCUUUGAAAUUGUAAGUCAAGAUGACUAGUAGAUAUUUUUUUUGAUGAACAACAACAAAAAAUGCUUGGAGCAUCAGAUAAUAUUAGAGUGUAGAAUAUAUACAAUUUCCUGUAAACAUUUUUCUGUCAAUAUCGAAAAAUAAUUUUAGCCAAGAAGUGUUUUUUUAAAUUUCUAGUCCAGGCCACAUAAACAAUGUGGUGGGCCACUUAAAUGAUUUGGGGGGUCACAUAAAUGUGGUGGACCAUAUAAAAUGAUUUGAAGGGCCAUAUCAAACUAUUUGGCUGGCCACUAAAAAAGAAGUAGUGGGCCACAUUAAUGAUGUGAUGGACCACAUUAAAAGAUUUGACAGGUCACUUAAAAUUAUUUGGCAGGCCAGAUCAAAAAUAAGUAGUGGGCCACAUUAAUGAUGUGGUGGACCACAAAAUGAUUUGACGGGCCAUCCAAAACUAUUUGGCAUGCAAAUUUAAAAAGCUGUGGCUGGCCACAUAAAAGAUGUGGUGGACCACAUAAAAUGAUGUGGUGGGCCAUAUAUGUUUUGGCAGGUCACAUAAAUGACGUGGUAGACAACAUAAGAUUUGACAGGCCACAUAAAAUUAUUUGGCAGGCCUGGUUAAAAAGAAGUAGUGGACCACAUAAUGACGCUGUGGGCCACAAAAUGAUUUGGCAAGUCACAUCAAUGACAUGGUGGACCACAUAAAAUUAUUUGACGGGGCACUUUAAAAAGAAAUGGUUGGCCACAUAAAAGAUGUGCACCACAUAAAUGACGUAGUGGACCAAAUACAAUGAUUGGAAGGGCCACUUGAAAUUAUUUGGCAGGCCAAAUUUAAAAAUUGUGAAAACUGUAUGUGAAGUCCCAGGUCCCAUUCUAUGUCUCUAAUUGGACUGUUGGCCAUACGCUGUGUGCCUUACAUGCGCUUGCGGCCGAUUGUGGUGAUUUUAACUUGUUUAGCUAUGUAGGAUUUUGGGUGUCACUACACGAUCGGUCCCGCAUGCUCAAAAACUGUUUCUUUCUCUCAAUUUUUUACGACAUACCUGCUGUGACGUCACAAACUGUGACGUUUGAAUGUUUUGUAUAAAAAGAAAAGCUUACAUUGUAGGAAAAGAGGACGAAAAUAUGAAAAUGAACAAGGAGUAGAUUAAUAUAAACGGGGUGAAAAAUAAUUUCCACAAUUUCAAUCACUUUCACUGCAAUGGAUGACAAACAUAUUCCCACGAGUAAAUGGUUAUUAAAUGUCAAUUUUUUUUAAAGGAAGCACUAUACUUAAAUCCAUAUUUGCAGGAUAGCAAAGAGUAGACUUUACAAUUGGCAAUAUGUACAUAUGCAUUGUAUUGUAAUGUGUGUCCAUCCAUCCAUUUUCUACCGCUUGUCCCGUUCGGGGUCGGGGUGGGCCGCUGGAGCCUAUCUCGGCUGCAUUCGGGCGGGAGGCGGGGUACACCCUGGACAAGUCACCACCUAAUCGCAGGGCCAAAUACAGAUAGACAACAUUCACACUCACAUUCACAUACUAGGGCCAAUUUAGUGUUGCCAAUCAACCUAUCCCCAGGUGUAUGUUUUUGGCGGUGGGAGGAAGCCGGAGUACCCGGAGGGAACCCAUGCAGUCACAGGGAGAACAUGCAAACUCCGCACAGAAAGAUCCCGAGCCCGGGAUUGAACCCAGGACAACUCAGGACUUUUGUAUUGGGAAGUACAUGCACUAACCCCUUUACCACCGUGCUGCCCUGUAAUGUAUGUAUUUGAUGUAAAUAAAGUAGUAUCAAAGAUGA